This is a non-coding RNA of Thalictrum thalictroides, 95 nucleotides long. NCBI's taxonomy places the organism in Eukaryota, Viridiplantae, Streptophyta, Magnoliopsida, Ranunculales, Ranunculaceae. The record is from the annotation of a GenBank genome assembly.
UAUUGCAGGGUAUUGGCACAGUUCAACCCUACCACGACAUCAACGACAUUGAUAUUGCGGUUUGGUUGAGCCGCGCCAAUAUCCCCUGCCACAAA